GGAAGGACUAUGGUCGUUAUAAGAAGGACGCUGAUUCUGUUCCUGUUGGUGGCGGUUCUGAAUGGGGAGAAGAAAAUCCAGAAAAACUGUUUUCAAAAGAACACAAAUCAGCCAGACAAUAAGAUUAAUAUCAUAAAAACUCCAAAAAUCAACGACGAUUUAUUUGAUAACCUCUGUGCAUGUCUGGAGAAACACCCUGGAGAGGCAAGCUUUAUGAAAUGUCCUCCUGAUACUCCUUUUAUCAAGGAAGUCUCUUUCAUCAGGUGCGGAGAGAAGUCUAUACCUAUUGGCAUUGACUGUAUGGGACUGUAGAUUUUCUAAUUUUUAUAAUUACUUCUGUGAUUUUUUGUAAAAUUGUAUGUUAGCCCUUUAAGCUCUGAUACAACUAUGCUAUUUUAUAUUGAAUGUUGAAAUAAGUUUCAUUUACGUAA
Bolinopsis microptera is the source of this 431-nucleotide long non-coding RNA. RefSeq lists it as uncharacterized. The record is from RefSeq and is a predicted model, not a curated record. Lineage: Eukaryota; Metazoa; Ctenophora; Tentaculata; Lobata; Bolinopsidae. The transcript has 2 exons.